This 503-nucleotide ribosomal RNA is filed under the name uncultured bacterium. Its description in RNAcentral is "bacterial SSU rRNA". It matches the Rfam family "Bacterial small subunit ribosomal RNA", at positions 21 to 518 of the family's 1533-position model. The record is from RNAcentral.
GGCUCAGGAUGAACGCUAGCGGCAGGCUUAACACAUGCAAGUCGAGGGGCAGCGCGAGUAGCAAUACUUGGCGGCGACCGGCGCAAGGGUGCGUAACGCGUGAGCAACAUGCCCGUAUCAGGGGGAUAAUCCAGGGAAACUUGGUCUAAUACCCCAUAGUAAUUUUGUAAGGCAUCUUAUAAGAUUUAAAGCUUUGGUGGAUACGGAUUGGCUCGCGUGACAUUAGCUGGAUGGUAAGGUAACGGCUUACCAUGGCUAUGAUGUCUAGGGGUUCUGAGAGGAAGGUCCCCCACACUGGAACUGAGACACGGUCCAGACUCCUACGGGAGGCAGCAGUGAGGAAUAUUGGACAAUGGAUGGAAAUCUGAUCCAGCCAUGCCGCGUGAAAGGAAGAAGGUCCUAUGGAUUGUAAACUUCUUUUGUAUGGGAGCAAUAAGGCCUACGAGUAGGUUGAUGAGAGUACCAUACGAAUAAGCACCGGCUAACUCCGUGCCAGCAGCGGC